RNAcentral lists this long non-coding RNA (1506 nucleotides) under Sus scrofa (pig). RNAcentral's name for it is "lncRNA (ENSSSCG00035073691.1)". The record is from RNAcentral. Lineage: Eukaryota; Metazoa; Chordata; Mammalia; Artiodactyla; Suidae.
AAUCCCGCGGCGGCUGCUUGGCUGAGGUGUUCGCGGUGGCGGCGCGGCGGCCGCUUCCUUCUCCCGCCGCCGCCUCGGCGCCCGCCCGCCAUGGCAGGGAUGUGCUUUAACGGUCCUGCUGCAGAUCGCAUUCCUGAGCUGUACGGCGUUACUGGGAGUCGGUGGUGCUUCCUGAUGACGGUGUCGGGGGUCGGGCCGCGGGCGGGAAGCUGCGCUCCGCCUUCCCUGGUGCGCGGCGGACGCCGAGGCGGCUUUGGAGACUUGGGCGGUUUAGAGCGGAGAGGGACGCUCCUGCUCCUCUCUCUCCCUCCACGUUGUGAACCUUGAACCUUGCCUUAAAAGUGUUUGUCUUUACGUGAACGCGAGUGGCUGACGCGCUGCGGUCGCGGGUCGCGUGCCCUUCCCCCACCUGGCCGCUUCCCACGGCCUUUGUCCUUCCCCUGUCCUUGCUCUGCACCGUCCCCGGCAGUGUGACACCUGGAAAUCCUUGGCCUUGUGAGACGAACAGUGCCCGGAGUAAGCAGGCAAAACUGCCUGAAGAAACUUGUAAGGAUGUAGAUGAUUUGAGAUUGAAUUGUUUCUUUUGCAUUCAUCUAAGGUCUUUUUUUUUUUUCCCUGUUUGCUGUGCCAAAGGGCUUUUACUCAGUUUCUAUUGGGAGCACAGCAGAAUAUGUUUAUUUACAGGCGGGGAAGUGGGGACCUCCAUGCCUGGCUUAAUUUCUAGUUUCUUUUCCUUUUGAGAAGAAGUAUUAGGUGAAGUAAUACAACUAAACGGUGUAUUUUAAGUUUGAUGUCACACUUUGAUAAUGGCAUUUUACUUAAAAACAUUUUGUUCUCUUUGAAUUAAAUUGGGGUUUUUUGCGACUUUAAAACCGUAUUUUAAGUAGAAUUUUGAAUGUAUCUGAAAGUUUGGUAUUUUGAGUUUAUACUUUUUGUAAGACUUCUUUGUAGUGAUUACGCACAUGUUUUUGAUUGUUGUAUGCAUUGAAAGCUCUCUGUCUUACUCCACUUGUUUUAGCUUUAGUAAUCUGUUGGGGCUACUGUGUCUGUUAACAUUGACCAUUGUAUCAAAUAGUUGGGAUAGUAUUUGUUUGAAUUGUAUUAUUGCCAUGAAACUUGACUAUAAGGGAAAAGGGAAAAGUUUUGUUUUGUUUUGUUUUUCUUUUGGGGGCUGUACCCACAGCAUAUGGAGGUUCCCAGGCUAGGGGUCGCAUCCAAGCUACAGCUGCCAGCCUACACCACAGCCACAGCCACUCCAGAUCAGAGUGCAGCUGUGACCUACACCACAGCCCUGGCAACGCCGGGUCCUUAACCUACAGAGGGAGGCCAAGGAUCGAACCCGCAACCUCAUGGUUCCUCGUUGGAUUCGUUUCCGCUGCACCACGACGGGACCUGCGGAAAGGCCGUUCCUAAGGUGUCUGAAGAACAGACAGCACGGAGUCAGUGAACAGCCGAACCGCACGUGUGCAACGAGCGACGUGAUAACCGUGCCGGCCAGGUUCCUCC